RNAcentral lists this ribosomal RNA (2611 nucleotides) under Taenia multiceps. RNAcentral's name for it is "SSU rRNA". It matches the Rfam family "Eukaryotic small subunit ribosomal RNA". Lineage: Eukaryota; Metazoa; Platyhelminthes; Cestoda; Cyclophyllidea; Taeniidae. The record is from RNAcentral.
CCUGGUUGAUCCUGCCAGUAGUCAUAUGCUUGUCUCAAAGAUUAAGCCAUGCAUGUCUCAGUUCAGGCCCUAGUACGGUGAAACCGCGAAUGGCUCAUUAAAUCAGCUAUGGUUUAUUGGAUCGUACCCGUUAAGUGGAUAACUGUAAUAACUCUAGAGCUAAUACAUGCCUCGAUGCCCUGACUCUGUCGGCCUGCUGCUGCUUGCCUGUGUGUAGGUGGCGGCAGGCAGGCAGGGCGUGGGUGCACUUAUUAGAUCAGAAGCCAACCAACUGCUCGAGCGUUGCGUGUGCAGUCCGCUGCUGUAGGCGUGCGUGCGGGCGUUGAGAGGGAACCGCAUCUGGUGACUCUGGAUAAUUGUUACAGAUCGCAGUCGGCCUUGAGUCGGCGACGGGUCCUUCAAAUGUCUGCCCUAUCAACUGUCGAUGGUAGGUGACCUGCCUACCAUGGUGAUAACGGGUAACGGGGAAUCAGGGUUCGAUUCCGGAGAGGGAGCCUGAGAAACGGCUACCACUUCCAAGGGAGGCAGCAGGCGCGCAAAUUACCCACUCCCGGCACGGGGAGGUGGUGACGAAAAAUACCGAUGCGGGACUCCCUCAAGAGGCUCCGUAAUCGGAAUGAGUGGACUCUAAAUCCUUUCACGAGGAUCAAUUGGAGGGCAAGUCUGGUGCCAGCAGCCGCGGUAACUCCAGCUCCAAUAGCGUAUAUUAAAGUUGCUGCAGUUAAAAAGCUCGUAGUUGGAUCUCGGUAGCAUUGUUGCCUGCUGGUGACUGAGCGGCCGGUGUGUGGCCAACGGUGCGCGGUCGCGUCGGCACACGGUCUGCGUGUGGGCGUGUGGUGAGCGCGGUUCGGUUGGUAGGUUGGCAGGCGAGCUGGCUGGUCGUUGUCGCCGCAACUGCUGGCUGGCUGGCUGGCUGGCUGGCUGGCUGACUGGCUAGGCGGUGGGUUGGCGGGACGGCUGGGUGGUUUGCUUGCUGGCUGGGCUGGCUGGUGCGAUGCUGCACUACUACUGCUUGCGUGCAGUGAGCGUGUGUUGGCAGGGAUUGUGUUGCCGUGGCCAUGAAGAAGCACUGUCGUGUCAAGCUGGCAAGGCGAUGGUGUCACCUUUGAGCCAUGUCUGUGGUGUAACAGCUACAGGUGUGGACGGGUGUUGGGCAGCGCUCUGCACACGUUGUGGAGUCUGUCGGCUCGUCUGCAUGCCUUUGGAUGCCCUUAAAAAGGUGUCUGCGGGCGGAUGGCACGUUUACUUUGAACAAAUUUGAGUGCUCAAAUCAGGCCGAUGUUGCCUGAAAAGUUUUGCAUGGAAUAAUGGAAUAGGACUUCGGUUCUAUUUCGUUGGUUUUCGGAUCCGAAGUAAUGAUCAAAAGAGACAGGCGGGGACGUUUGUAUGGCUGCGCUAGAGGUGAAAUUCAUGGACCGUAGCCAGACAGACUAAAGCGAAAGCAUUCGUCAAGCAUGUUUUCAUUGGCCAUGAGCGAAAGUCAGAGGCUCGAAGACGAUCAGAUACCGUCCUAGUUCUGACCAUAAACGAUGCCAACUGACGAUCCGUGGUGGUAGUAGUGUUACCUUCCCCACGGGCAGUCCCCGGGAAACCUUUAAGUGUUUGGGUUCCGGGGGAAGUAUGGUUGCAAAGCUGAAACUUAAAGGAAUUGACGGAAGGGCACCACCAGGAGUGGAGCCUGCGGCUUAAUUUGACUCAACACGGGAAAACUCACCCGGGCCGGACACUGUGAGGAUUGACAGAUUGAGAGCUCUUUCUUGAUUUGGUGGUUGGUGGUGCAUGGCCGUUCUUAGUUGGUGGAGCGAUUUGUCUGGUUAAUUCCGAUAACGAACGAGACUCCAACCUGCUAAUUAGUGCGUUUGUCCACUGCGCCUGCGUAGGUGACGCUGGAUGACACCACCUGUCACGAGGACGUGGCAGCGGCUCUUCUCUCCCCUUCUCCGCUCGAAUGCCCUCCAGCGCCUCCUCCUCCUCCUCCUCCUCUCCUCCCCCUUCUUCAGCGCCUCAUCUGGCCGGCUGGCUGGCUGGCCGGGUGAGGCGGUGGUGGCGGUGGCGGUGGUGAGGGCGAUGGGGUGGGGAUGGUGCGGGUGGGCGAGUGGAUUGUGGUGGAGGCGUGGGGUUGGGUGCGGCGCUCGUGGCCGGUUAGUCUGGCGUUGGCCUCCGGGUGUGGCGCGAAUGCCUACUUCUUAGAGGGACAAGCGGGAGAAGCCGCACGAAAUAGAGCAAUAACAGGUCUGUGAUGCCCUUAGAUGUCCGGGGCCGCACGCGCGCUACAAUGACGGUGUCAGCGAGUCAGGCCUUCUGGCCCGAAAGGGUUGGGCAAACUGGUCAAUCACCGUCGUGACAGGGAUCGGGGCUUGGAAUUGUUCCCCGUGAACGAGGAAUUCCUAGUAAGUGCAAGUCAUAAGCUUGCGCUGAUUACGUCCCUGCCCUUUGUACACACCGCCCGUCGCUACUACCGAUUGAAUGGUUUAGUAAGGUCCUCGGAUUGGCGUCAUUGCGACGGUGGCCGAGAGGUCACAGCCCGAGGGGCGCUGAGAAGACGACCGAACUUGAUCAUUUAGAGGAAGUAAAAGUCGUAACAAGGUUUCCGUAGGUGAACCUGCGGAAG